UUCCGGUUGAUCCCCGCCGGAGACUACUGCUAUCAGGGUUCGGCUAAGCCAUGCGAGUCGAGAGGUGUAAGACCUCGGCGAACUGCUCAGUAACACGUAGCUAACCUGCCCUAAAGUGGAGAAUAAACUUGGGAAACUGAGACUAAUACUCCAUAGACGAUUGAGGCUGGAAGGCGCUUUCGUUGAAAGAUUUAUCGCUUUAGGAUGGGGCUGCGGCCUAUCAGCCUGUUGUUGGGAUAAAAGCCCAACAAAGCUAUGACGGGUACGGGUCAUGAGAGUGAUUGCCCGGAGAUGGAUUCUGAGACAUGAAUCCAGGCCCUACGGGGCGCAGCAGGCGCGAAAACUUCUCAAUGGGCGAAAGCCUGAAGAGGGAACCUUGAGUGACAUCGGCUAAGCUGGUGUCUUUUCUUUACUGUAAAUAGGUAGAGGAAUAAGUGGUGGGCAAGACGGUUGCCAGCCGCCGCGGUAAUAACCGCGCCACGAGUUGUAGUCACGAUUAUUGGGUCUAAAGCAUCCGUAGCUGGUUCGACAAGUCUUCGGUGAAAUCCGGCAGUAAACUGUCGGGCGUGCCGAAGAUACUAUCAGACUAGAGACUGGGAGAGGUCUGGGGUACUUCGGAGGUAGGGGUAAAAUCCUUUAAUCUCCGAGGGACCACCUGUGGCGAAGGCGCCAGACUAGAACAGAUCUGACAGUGAGGGAUGAAAGCUAGGGGAGCGAUCGGGAUUAGAUACCCCGGUAGUCCUAGCCGUAAACGAUGCCCGCUUGGUGUUACAGAUUCUUAGCGAAUCUGUUGUGCCGAAGCGAAGGCGAUAAGCGGGCCACCUGGGGAGUACGUCCGCAAGGAUGAAACUUAAGGGAAUUGGCGGGGGAGCACUACCAGGGGUGGAGGCUGCGGUUCAAUUGGAUUCAACGCCGG
RNAcentral lists this ribosomal RNA (916 nucleotides) under uncultured archaeon. RNAcentral's name for it is "bacterial SSU rRNA". It matches the Rfam family "Archaeal small subunit ribosomal RNA", at positions 1 to 921 of the family's 1478-position model. The record is from RNAcentral.